GACGAACGCUGGCGGCAUGCCUAAUACAUGCAAGUCGAGCGAACAGAUGAAGUGCUUGCACUUCUGACGUUAGCGGCGAACGGGUGAGUAACACGUAAGGAAUCUACCUAUAAGCGGGGGAUAACAUUCGGAAACAGGUGCUAAUACCGCAUAAUAUCUUCUUCCGCAUGGAAGAAGAUUGAAAGACGGCUCUGCUGUCACUUAUAGAUGACCUUGCGGUGCAUUAGUUAGUUGGUGGGGUAACGGCCUACCAAGACGAUGAUGCAUAGCCGACCUGGGAGGGUGAUCGGCCACAUUGGGACUGAGACACGGCCCAAACUCCUACGGGAGGCAGCAGUAGGGAAUCUUCCGCAAUGGGCGAAAGCCUGACGGAGCAAUGCCGCGUGAGUGAAGAAGGCCUUCGGGUCGUAAAACUCUGUUAUAAGAGAAGAACAAAUUGUAGAGUAACUGCUACAGUCUUGACGGUAUCUUAUCAGAAAGCCACGGCUAACUACGUGCCAGCAGCCGCCGUAA
Molecule: ribosomal RNA, 513 nt
Filed under: uncultured bacterium
Lineage: Bacteria
Description: partial 16S ribosomal RNA
Rfam family: Bacterial small subunit ribosomal RNA
Source: RNAcentral